This is a long non-coding RNA of Tympanuchus pallidicinctus (lesser prairie-chicken), 1305 nucleotides long. RefSeq lists it as uncharacterized. NCBI's taxonomy places the organism in Eukaryota, Metazoa, Chordata, Aves, Galliformes, Phasianidae. The transcript has 4 exons. The record is from RefSeq and is a predicted model, not a curated record.
UACCUCUGAUUAGCAGUUGAUUUAACUCAGUGGAAGAAAAAGAUAAAUAUCUGGAGAACGGGAAUAGAAGGAUGGAAGAUCACAGGAACUGACAUUUCCUCUGUACUGUACAAGUGUGCCUUUCCCCUUGUGUAAAGGAAGUCUGGACUCGACAGCCUUGCAGGCCUCAAGAACAUAGUGCAGAAUUAAAUCAGACCCUCCAGUGAUCCACAGUAAAAGUUCUGAGAUUGGUCUGAAUUUGAAUACUUGAAUAACAGUGAUAUUCAGAUGAGGGACUCAGCCCUUUCUGUCCUUGGAAAGCAUUCAAAAAUACUUUGUCCAAGAUUUUCAAACCAAAAAGUAAUAAUUUUAUAAUGAUACUUAAUUUUUCUCAAGAUUCAUUGUGAAUGUGCCAUUGCACAAGUCAGCCUUUCUAACGGUCUGUUAAAAAUAUGCUUGAGACUUUCCCUUGAAACGUGAGGGAAACUUUAUAUUUUCAGAAUGUUAUGAUGGGGGACAAAAGCCCCAAGAAAGAUGUUCAUCCCAUCUUUGUUGUUAUGUGAUGGUAAAAUGAGGAACCUGAAGUACUUGCUGCCUGGUCUCCAGAGCAGAGGACUCAGGGAAGUUUCCUCCUUUUGUAGUGAGAUGCUUUCUCAUGUAUCCAAGUACGAAUCUUUGGAGCUUUGUCACGGUGAUGGUGGUUGUAUGGGAACUGCUGAGCCACGGCCUGAACCUCUGAUUGAUCACCUGAGGUGAGCACUGAGUCAGCCACAGGAGCACAGGUGAAGGCAAUUCAGCUGUGCUGCUCCUACACCUAUUUAAGAGCUGGCUGCCAGUAGGGAAGGAUCUCUUCUGAAGAUCUGCUUUGCUGGAGUUUUGUAAGUGAGCCCAGGAUAGGGAGAUACGUAUGUUGAACUGACCCAAAGUUAUUCCUCCUGACCUUAGUUGGGAGCCACUGAAUCACAACACAGAGAGAGCUGCCAAUGGCUACAACAGGGUGCCUGCUGGCCAUUAGGCUGAAAAGAGAAAUGAGUAAUGUGAUGGUGCAGGUACCUGCUUUAAAAGGAAGGAGACUGCAAUGCUCAUCAGACCUUUUAAAGAAGUGUGGUGAAUAGAAAGCACUAAAAAAAGCUUUAAGAAAUGUACAACUGUGGAGUCAAAAGCAUCUGCUGGUGUCUGCAUAGUGAAAAUCCAGUCUGUGAGGAGGUAGUGCUCCGUUUGCAUCUCGCACAGGAUCUCUGGCCUUUCUGAAAGCAUGAACUCAAAGAGUAUAAGCACUGAAGUGACAUCUGACCUGUGAACUCGCGUGUGAAGGCUGCGAGGUCU